GAUCAAUCAGAAGCUGGAGGGACUCAAACUCUGGGAAUUAGGAUGACUGGAGAGAAGCCGUAAAGGGAACGGUGCAGGAAUCAAAACCAAUAAAUUUGGGCUGUACUUGCAACUCCAGCCAACGGGAACUCCGGCAGGUUAUGCCACUUCCAGGGCAGAAAUCACUAACCGUCACAACCCACCAUCCACUGUGCUUGAG
RNAcentral lists this long non-coding RNA (199 nucleotides) under Mustela putorius furo (domestic ferret). RNAcentral's name for it is "lncRNA (ENSMPUG00000024260.1)". The record is from RNAcentral. Lineage: Eukaryota; Metazoa; Chordata; Mammalia; Carnivora; Mustelidae.